This 253-nucleotide ribosomal RNA is filed under the name uncultured bacterium. Its description in RNAcentral is "partial 16S ribosomal RNA". It matches the Rfam family "Bacterial small subunit ribosomal RNA", at positions 524 to 776 of the family's 1533-position model. The record is from RNAcentral.
UACGUAGGGGGCAAGCGUUGUCCGGAUUUAUUGGGCGUAAAGAGCGUGUAGGCGGCCAGGUAGGUCCGUUGUGAAAACUCGAGGCUCAACCUCGAGCUGUCGAUGGAAACCAUCUGGCUAGAGUCCGGAAGAGGAGAGUGGAAUUCCUGGUGUAGCGGUGAAAUGCGCAGAUAUCAGGAAGAACACCUAUGGCGAAGGCAGCUCUCUGGGACGGUACUGACGCUGAGACGCGAAAGCGUGGGGAGCGAACAGG